Molecule: ribosomal RNA, 492 nt
Filed under: uncultured bacterium
Lineage: Bacteria
Description: partial 16S ribosomal RNA
Rfam family: Bacterial small subunit ribosomal RNA
Source: RNAcentral
AGUGAACGCUGGCGGUAGGCCUAACACAUGCAAGUCGAACGGCAGCACAGUAAGAGCUUGCUCUUCCGGGUGGCGAGUGGCGGACGGGUGAGGAAUACAUCGGACUCUACUUUUUCGUGGGGGUUAACGUAGGGAAACUUACGCUAAUACCGCAUCCGACCUACGGGUGAAAGCAGGGGAUCUUCGGACCUUGCGCGAUUGGAUGAGCCGAUGUUGGAUUAGCUAGUUGGCGGGGUAAAGGCCCACUAAGGCGACGAUCGGUAGCUGGUGUGGGUGGAUGGUCGCCGGCACGGGAGCGGAGACACGGACCAUGGGACUACGGGAGGCACCAGUGGGGAAUAUUGGACAAUGGGCGCAAGCCUGAUCCAGCCAUACCGCGUGGGUGAAGGAGGCCUUCGGGUUGUAAAGACCUUUUGUUGGGAAAGAAAAGCAGCAGGUUAAUACCCCGCUGUUCUGACGGUACCCAAAGAAUAAGCACCGGCUAACUUCGUG